Molecule: ribosomal RNA, 458 nt
Filed under: uncultured bacterium
Lineage: Bacteria
Description: partial 16S ribosomal RNA
Rfam family: Bacterial small subunit ribosomal RNA
Source: RNAcentral
CCUACGGGAGGCAGCAGUGAGGAAUAUUGGUCAAUGGGCGAGAGCCUGAACCAGCCAAGUCGCGUGAGGGAGUACUGCCCUAUGGGUUGUAAACCUCUUUUGUCGGGGAGCAAAAGCCGGACGUGUCCGGCUGUGAGAGUACCCGACGAAAAAGCAUCGGCUAACUCCGUGCCAGCAGCCGCGGUAAUACGGAGGAUGCGAGCGUUAUCCGGAUUUAUUGGGUUUAAAGGGUGCGCAGGCGGAUUUUUAAGUCAGCGGUAAAAUCGUGGGGCUCAACCCCAUCCAGCCGUUGAAACUGGGGAUCUAGAGUGUGCGAGAGGUAUGCGGAAUGCGUGGUGUAGCGGUGAAAUGCAUAGAUAUCACGCAGAACCCCGAUUGCGAAGGCAACAUACCGGUGCACAACUGACGCUCAGGCACGAAAGCGUGGGUAUCGAACAGGAUUAGAUACCCGUGUAGUC